GUGUCAGCCGCCGCGGUAAUACGGAGGGUGCAAGCGUUAUCCGGAUUCACUGGGUUUAAAGGGAGCGUAGGUGGGGCGGUAAGUCAGUGGUGAAAUCUCCAAGCUUAACUUGGAAACUGCCGUUGAUACUAACUGUCUUGAAUACCGUGGAGGUGAGCGGAACAUGUCAUGUAGCGGUGAAAUGCUUAGAUAUGACAUAGAACACCAAUUGCGAAGGCAGCUCACUACACGAGCAUUGACUCUGAGGCACGAAAGCGUGGGGAUCAAACAGGAUUAGAUACCCUUGUAGUCC
This 292-nucleotide ribosomal RNA is filed under the name uncultured bacterium. RNAcentral's name for it is "partial 16S ribosomal RNA". It matches the Rfam family "Bacterial small subunit ribosomal RNA", at positions 505 to 796 of the family's 1533-position model. The record is from RNAcentral.